GGGCCGGUGGUCUAGCGGCUAUGACGUCACCCUUACAAGGUGAAGAUCGCAAGUUCGAAUCUUGCCCGGCCCACCA
This is a transfer RNA of 76 nucleotides. It matches the Rfam family "tRNA". Rfam says of the family: Transfer RNA (tRNA) molecules are approximately 80 nucleotides in length.